RNAcentral lists this non-coding RNA (28 nucleotides) under Bombyx mori (domestic silkworm). The record is from RNAcentral. Lineage: Eukaryota; Metazoa; Arthropoda; Insecta; Lepidoptera; Bombycidae.
UAAGUCAUAGUUGGACCCGAAGGGGCUG